Molecule: long non-coding RNA, 276 nt
Filed under: Elaeis guineensis (African oil palm)
Lineage: Eukaryota; Viridiplantae; Streptophyta; Magnoliopsida; Arecales; Arecaceae
Description: long non-coding RNA (EGUI_LNC055139)
Source: RNAcentral
ACCACCCUCGAUCACACCUGAGUAUGUAUGUAAAGGAUCAUAUGACAUACUUCCAGUAAUCAGUGCAUCAGAUCUAACUCCUAAUUUAGGAGCAUUUUAAAGGAAGAUAUAGGAGAAAUUCUCAAUGAAUAAGAGAAUGAGAAUGGGAUUGCAAACCAUCUUCCUAAAAUUGAUAAUAAAAAAAUAAUGGACUUUAUUAAUAAUGAGGUUGCAAAUUAUCUUCUUGAGAUUGGCAAUCCAAAAUUGCUAGAAUUUAUCAAUCUAAUUUUUGAUACG